AACGCACAUUGCGCCCAUUGGUAUUCCGAUGGGCAUGCCUGUUCGAGCGUCAUUAUCCUCCCUCAAACCUCGUGUUUGGUGUUGGACCGCGUUGGCCGAGCGACCAACUGGUCUCAAAGACAAUGACGGCGUCCGUGGGACCCUCGGUGCAACGAGCUUCUAAGGAGCACGCGUCGAGUUUCAAGGACCCUCCGGGCCGGUCUUAACCUCUAACUUCUCAGGUUGACCUCGGAUCAGGUAGGAAUACCCGCUGAACUUAA
Molecule: unclassified non-coding RNA, 260 nt
Filed under: uncultured Chaetothyriales
Lineage: Eukaryota; Fungi; Ascomycota; Eurotiomycetes; Chaetothyriales
Description: sequence contains 5.8S rRNA gene, ITS2, 28S rRNA gene
Rfam family: 5.8S ribosomal RNA (bases 1-52)
Source: RNAcentral